Molecule: ribosomal RNA, 379 nt
Filed under: uncultured eukaryote
Lineage: Eukaryota
Description: partial 18S ribosomal RNA
Rfam family: Eukaryotic small subunit ribosomal RNA
Source: RNAcentral
CAAUAGCGUAUAUUAAAGUUGUUGCGGUUAAAAAGCUCGUAGUUGGAGUUCUGCCAGGUGACGCUCGUCCGCCCAAGUGGUGUGUACAGGGCGUGCAUCUGGCCCUUUCAAGGGGAACGUGUCUGCACUUUACUGUGUGGUGCGAGAUCCUUGACUUUUACUUUGAGGAAAUCAGAGUGUUCCAAGCAGGCUCUCGUCGUGUAUAGCUCAGCAUGGAAUAAUAGCAUUGGACUUCGUUUCUAAGCUGUUGGUUGCAAGAAGCGAGGUAAUGAUGAAGAGGGAUAGUUGGGGGCAUUCGUAUUUAACUGUCAGAGGUGAAAUUCUUGGAUUUGUUAAAGACGGACCACUGCGAAAGCAUCUGCCAUGGAUGUUUNCAUUG